RNAcentral lists this ribosomal RNA (253 nucleotides) under uncultured bacterium. RNAcentral's name for it is "partial 16S ribosomal RNA". It matches the Rfam family "Bacterial small subunit ribosomal RNA", at positions 524 to 776 of the family's 1533-position model. The record is from RNAcentral.
GACAGAGGGUGCAAACGUUGUUCGGAAUUACUGGGCGUAAAGCGAGUGUAGGCGGUCUCAUAAGUCAGGUGUGAAAGCCCUGGGCUCAACCCAGGAAGUGCACUUGAAACUGCGAGGCUAGAGUAUCGGAGAGGUUGGUGGAAUUCUCGGUGUAGAGGUGAAAUUCGUAGAUAUCGAGAGGAACACCGGUGGUGUAAACGGCUUUCUGGACCAUAACUGACGCUGAGGCACGAAAGCGUGGGUAGCAAACAGG